CAAAGGGAAUGACAAAAGUACUAGCAGAACCCCCAGCCCAACCUAGACCACGGGGUGCUCCAGAGAAACAGCCAAUAGAUAGAAAUAUCAGCAUUCAAAGAGAUUUACUGAAGGCACUGGCUGAUGUGAUGGUGGGGUCUGGUGAGGCGAGUCCCAAACUGCAGAGCAAGCCUUCCUCAGAGGCAGCCGGCGCGACUCAGACAGGAGCUGGUGCUGCGGUCCACAGGCGGAGUUGCUUCUUUUCAAUGAAUUGAUCAGGCCCACCCAGAUUAUUCGGGAGAUGGGCUUCACUUUGUUGCCCAGGCUGGUCUCCAACUCCUGGCGUCCGGCGAUCCUCCUGCCUCAGCCUCCCAAAGUGCUGGGAUGACAGGCAUGAGCCCUCACACCUGCCCUAACAUUUUGAUGGAUGAAGCCAAAUUGCCCUUCCAGAAGCUUCUGCUUGUGCCCAGGCACAUUGACAUGAGGGCCUCGAAUCCUGCCUGAGCUCCAUGAAGUCUGCAGUGGCGUGAGUGGAAACCUCUGCCUCCACGGUGAAAUGUCACUGACUACUGGAAAUUAGGCGAAUGCAUUAGUGCACAGCAGAGGUGGCACGGGGAGCAGUCAAUGUGUGUCAGUCUCCCCCCAGCGGACGGUGGCGAGCUGAGAUGAGGUUGU
Molecule: long non-coding RNA, 654 nt
Organism: Gorilla gorilla gorilla (western lowland gorilla)
Lineage: Eukaryota; Metazoa; Chordata; Mammalia; Primates; Hominidae
Exons: 3
Source: RefSeq, a predicted model, not a curated record